This 305-nucleotide ribosomal RNA is filed under the name uncultured bacterium. RNAcentral describes it as "bacterial SSU rRNA". It matches the Rfam family "Bacterial small subunit ribosomal RNA", at positions 337 to 658 of the family's 1533-position model. The record is from RNAcentral.
UCCUACGGGGGGCAGCAGUGGGGAAUAUUGGGCAAUGGAGGAAACUCUGACCCAGCAACGCCGCGUGAAGGAUGAAGGUUUUCGGAUUGUAAACUUCUGUCGCGAGGGACGAAGAAUGACGGUACCUCGUAAGAAAGCCCCGGCUAACUACGUGCCAGCAGCCGCGGUAAUACGUAGGGGGCGAGCGUUGUCCGGAAUGACUGGGCGUAAAGGGAGUGUAGGCGGCAAUAUAAGUUAGAUGUGAAAUCCCGCGGCUCAACCGCGGAACUGCAUCUAAAACUAUAUAGCUGGAGUGCAGGAGAGGG